This 825-nucleotide ribosomal RNA is filed under the name uncultured Bacteroidota bacterium. RNAcentral describes it as "bacterial SSU rRNA". It matches the Rfam family "Bacterial small subunit ribosomal RNA", at positions 1 to 815 of the family's 1533-position model. Lineage: Bacteria; Pseudomonadati; Bacteroidota. The record is from RNAcentral.
GGAUCCAGACUUUGAUCCGGCUCAGGAUGAACGCUAGCUACAGGCUUAACACAUGCAAGUCGAGGGGAAACGACAUCGAAAGCUUGCUUUUGAUGGGCGUCGACCGGCGCACGGGUGAGUAACGCGUAUCCAACCUGCCCACCACUUGGGGAUAACCUUGCGAAAGUAAGACUAAUACCCAAUGAUAUCCCACGAAGGCAUCCGAAUGGGAUUAAAGAUUUAUCGGUGAUGGAUGGGGAUGCGUCUGAUUAGCUUGUUGGCGGGGUAACGGCCCACCAAGGCGACGAUCAGUAGGGGUUCUGAGAGGAAGGUCCCCCACAUUGGAACUGAGACACGGUCCAAACUCCUACGGGAGGCAGCAGUGAGGAAUAUUGGUCAAUGGGCGAGAGCCUGAACCAGCCAAGUAGCGUGCAGGACGACGGCCCUAUGGGUUGUAAACUGCUUUUAUAAGGGAAUAAAGUGAGUCUCGUGAGACUUUUUGCAUGUACCUUAUGAAUAAGGACCGGCUAAUUCCGUGCCAGCAGCCGCGGUAAUACGGAAGGUCCGGGCGUUAUCCGGAUUUAUUGGGUUUAAAGGGAGCGUAGGCCGGAGAUUAAGCGUGUUGUGAAAUGUAGAGGCUCAACCUCUGCACUGCAGCGCGAACUGGUCUUCUUGAGUACGCACAACGUGGGCGGAAUUCGUGGUGUAGCGGUGAAAUGCUUAGAUAUCACGAAGAACUCCGAUUGCGAAGGCAGCUCACGGGAGCGCAACUGACGCUGAAGCACGAAAGUGCGGGUAUCGAACAGGAUUAGAUACCCUGGUAGUCCGCACGGUAAACGAUGGAUG